RNAcentral lists this ribosomal RNA (431 nucleotides) under uncultured bacterium. Its description in RNAcentral is "partial 16S ribosomal RNA". It matches the Rfam family "Bacterial small subunit ribosomal RNA", at positions 29 to 507 of the family's 1533-position model. The record is from RNAcentral.
AACGAACGCUGGCGGCAGGCCUAACACAUGCAAGUCGAGCGCCCCGCCAGGGGAGCGGCGGACGGGUGAGUAACGCGUGGGAAUAUGCCCUUUGCUACGGAAUAGUCUCGGGAAACUGGGGGUAAUACCGUAUACGCCCUUUGGGGGAAAGAUUUAACGGCGAAGGAUUAGCCCGCGUUGGAUUAGGUAGUUGGUGGGGUAAUGGCCUACCAAGCCGACGAUCCAUAGCUGGUUUGAGAGGAUGAUCAGCCACACUGGGACUGAGACACGGCCCAGACUCCUACGGGAGGCAGCAGUGGGGAAUCUUAGACAAUGGGGGCAACCCUGAUCUAGCCAUGCCGCGUGAGUGAUGAAGGCCUUAGGGUUGUAAAGCUCUUUCAGCUGGGAAGAUAAUGACGGUACCAGCAGAAGAAGCCCCGGCUAACUCCGUG